This is a long non-coding RNA of Octopus sinensis (East Asian common octopus), 452 nucleotides long. RefSeq lists it as uncharacterized. The record is from RefSeq and is a predicted model, not a curated record. The transcript has 3 exons. NCBI's taxonomy places the organism in Eukaryota, Metazoa, Mollusca, Cephalopoda, Octopoda, Octopodidae.
UGUCAGAACAUUGGGCAUUUUGCCCAAGGUGAUACAGUAAUAUCAAAACACUGAGUGUCCCAUAGUCCCCUUCUGCUAAUAAACUGAUGGUGCUAUGGACACACAUUCUGAAAAAGCUGUUCUCCAUUGAUGAGAAACAAGAGUAAUAGCUUGAUCUCAAGCUGUUUCUUAAACUGGAAGUUAAAUAUGGAACGUCAUAAGGAAAACAAAGAUGUAUAGUAGUACGAGGUAAAGGAAUAGCAGAGGAUCAAAGAACCAAGUGAGAAGGUAGUUUCAAGGAAUUUUAAAGAAACAGCUAUACUGAGAAAAUUUUGAAAAACUUUAUUUGGACAAAAAAGUUAAAUACUGAAAAGCCUGUACAUGCUAAGGAAUGAAAGAUCUGAAUUUUAUUGAAAAACUUUGUUUCGUUCAACAUAAUUAACUUUGAAAUAUUUUAGGUAAAAACUAAUAAA